RNAcentral lists this ribosomal RNA (490 nucleotides) under uncultured bacterium. RNAcentral describes it as "partial 16S ribosomal RNA". It matches the Rfam family "Bacterial small subunit ribosomal RNA", at positions 30 to 507 of the family's 1533-position model. The record is from RNAcentral.
AUUGAACGCUGGCGGCAGGCCUAACACAUGCAAGUCGAACGGUAACAGGAAGCAGCUUGCUGCUUUGCUGACGAGUGGCGGACGGGUGAGUAAUGUCUGGGAAACUGCCCGAUGGAGGGGGAUAACUACUGGAAACGGUAGCUACUACCGCAUAACGUCGCAAGACCAAAGAGGGGGACCUUAGGGCCUCUUGCCAUCGGCUGUGCCCAGAUGGGAUUAGCUAGUAGGUGGGGUAACGGCUCACCUAGGCGACGAUCCCUAGCUGGUCUGAGAGGAUGACCAGCCACACUGGAACUGAGACACGGUCCAGACUCCUACGGGAGGCAGCAGUGGGGAAUAUUGCACAAUGGGCGCAAGCCUGAUGCAGCCAUGCCGCGUGUAUGAAGAAGGCCUUCGGGUUGUAAAGUACUUUCAGCGGGGAGGAAGGGAGUAAAGUUAAUACCUUUGCUCAUUGACGUUACCCGCAGAAGAAGCACCGGCUAACUCCGUG